GUAAAAGGCUGCUCAUACCGAUAUACUAAAAGCAAUAUACAGUAUUUCAAUCAUACACAAUAUCACAGGCCAAUACACAACAUAACAUUUCAAUGGUUUAAGAUAAUAUCAAUUUCCACAUUAGUAAUUUGGAGACCAUUUAACUACACCUACUCUCCCCUGUCAUCUUCCUCAGACAUGCCAUCCCCUCCAUGCCGCCAGGAAGUGGUAAGGUUCCGAGCUUUUCUAUCCAGCUGAAGGUUUUCUAAGGCAGAUGAAGCACGACUUACAUCUUCUGCAAGUUCAUCAUUGUCAUAUCUCCAGUUGUAUUCAUCCUUCCUGUAUCCAGAUACCGACGAACCUCCUCUUCUAUAGGAUGACUGGGCUGCAGGACCUGGCCUUCCCAAUGGAGGUAAGCCCCCGGCAACUGAAGAUGAAGAAGGCCUCCUCAUGUUCCUUGUUUCUAAAUUGGGAAGAGAGUCAGCAUCUGGUGUUGUCAAUCUCCUCCCAGCACCCCUUCCUUGAGAUAAGUUCUCAUACUUCAAGAAUCCUUCGAGAACAUCCAAAAGCAAUGGGCCACUAUCCCCAUUCCUGUUAAGAUCGUACCCAUUUUUGCUGCUAAAUUCUUUUAGCUCUGAUUUCCAAGAAUCUUUUUGCAAAUUACACUCUGG
RNAcentral lists this unclassified non-coding RNA (650 nucleotides) under Hevea brasiliensis (rubber tree). Lineage: Eukaryota; Viridiplantae; Streptophyta; Magnoliopsida; Malpighiales; Euphorbiaceae. The record is from RNAcentral.